RNAcentral lists this unclassified non-coding RNA (210 nucleotides) under plant metagenome. Its description in RNAcentral is "partial contains small subunit ribosomal RNA, internal transcribed spacer 1, and 5.8S ribosomal RNA". The record is from RNAcentral.
UUUCCGUAGGUGAACCUGCGGAAGGAUCAUACAUAAUAAAGUGUUUUAUGGCACUUUUUAAAAAUCCAUAUCCACCUUGUGUGCAAUGUUAGAUCUCGUCAAUCUUGGCGAGUUUUUUAUACAUCGACUCAUUCUUAACUAAUUUGUCUGAAAAAUAUUAUGAAUACUUAAUUCAAAAUACAACUUUCAACAACGGAUCUCUUGGCUCUC